RNAcentral lists this microRNA (22 nucleotides) under Euprymna scolopes. RNAcentral's name for it is "Esc-Mir-12530_5p (mature (guide))". The record is from RNAcentral. Lineage: Eukaryota; Metazoa; Mollusca; Cephalopoda; Sepiida; Sepiolidae.
UGAAGAGACCGUGCAGGUCUGU